CAGGUUGGUGCAACCAUACUCACCUUGAACCAUUGGUCCAAGGUUCAAGCCCUAGGGACCUAAACUGUGUAGAUAUAAAUGUUGAUUGUUUUCUGUUAGACUAAAAUACCUUGGUGGGUUGGGUCGGUUAGGAGCCAUUUCGUCCGGUUCGGUUGACUACUGGCUAUGGUGGGUUGGGUCGUGAAUGGAUGUGUGACCCAUUGGUAAUUAAAGCCUGUUUUGGGUUGGCCUGUUUCGGCCUAAAAACCCAGAUUCUUAGUUGACCUUGAACCAAGGUCCGGUAGACG
This 287-nucleotide long non-coding RNA is filed under the name Vitis vinifera (wine grape). RNAcentral describes it as "long non-coding RNA (VVIN_LNC001087)". The record is from RNAcentral. Lineage: Eukaryota; Viridiplantae; Streptophyta; Magnoliopsida; Vitales; Vitaceae.